Paramisgurnus dabryanus is the source of this 339-nucleotide non-coding RNA. The record is from RefSeq and is a predicted model, not a curated record. NCBI's taxonomy places the organism in Eukaryota, Metazoa, Chordata, Actinopteri, Cypriniformes, Cobitidae.
UCACCAUCAUCAGUGGAUGCCUUUGCCGUCUGUAGCCUGAGAUUUCAGAUUUGCAGCAAAAAAAAUUGAUUUUCUCAUUUAUUGGAAUGCUAUGCAGGUUGUACCUUGCAGCCAUCCAUUACAAUGUCACCAAGCCGUAACAAAAGCAGGAGAGGGAAAGUACAAGGCUAUGUUCCCAAAACACACAAAUGACAUACCUUAUGUGGAUGAUGUGAUCAGGCUUGUGUUUGCUGAGGUAUUUGAAGAUAAGCUGAAGGAAACCCCGAUUCCAAUGGACCUGGCAUCACAGUUUGAGAGACCUUCAAAGGAGGACGUGAUUGCAUGCCAUCUUCAGUGCAG